RNAcentral lists this ribosomal RNA (169 nucleotides) under uncultured bacterium. RNAcentral describes it as "partial 16S ribosomal RNA". It matches the Rfam family "Bacterial small subunit ribosomal RNA", at positions 338 to 524 of the family's 1533-position model. RNAcentral also lists the same sequence under 1 other name. The record is from RNAcentral.
CCUACGGGAGGCAGCAGUGGGGAAUAUUGGACAAUGGGCGCAAGCCUGAUCCAGCCAUGCCGCGUGAGUGAUGAAGGCCUUAGGGUUGUAAAGCUCUUUCAGUGGGGACGAUAAUGACGGUACCCACAGAAGAAGCCCCGGCUAACUUCGUGCCAGCAGCCGCGGUAAU